UGGAAAAGCUACGGAAUCGCCAGGAUGU
Molecule: non-coding RNA, 28 nt
Filed under: Homo sapiens (human)
Lineage: Eukaryota; Metazoa; Chordata; Mammalia; Primates; Hominidae
Source: RNAcentral